Non-coding RNA from Varanus komodoensis (Komodo dragon), 471 nucleotides. The record is from the annotation of a RefSeq genome assembly. Lineage: Eukaryota; Metazoa; Chordata; Lepidosauria; Squamata; Varanidae.
AUGCAUGCCUCGCAGUUGUCUGAGAAGCAAAGGAUGGGGAGGCUGGCUGGGCAAGCUGGCUGGGACCUCGCCGUUGCUUCUGCUUUCCUUCCAGGUGUUUCAGGCCAAGAAACCGUCAGCCAGGAGGACCAGCUUGUUUCUGUCAAGGAGGGAGAAGCCGUCCACCUCAAGUGUGUCUAUCAGGGGAAUUCAGGUGGCUUGCAGUGGUACAAGCAGACGCAAAGUGGCCUGAUCCAGUUCAAGACUCAGCUCUUUGCCACUAGAACGGAAUCUCAUGGCCAUUUCAAUGUCAGCCUGGACCAAAGCGAGAAGAUCUCCUUCUUCUCCCUGAAUGGAGCCCGAUUGGAUGAUUCUGCUGUCUACUUUUGUGCUUCUCUCCACAAGAAGCUAUCCUGGGCUGAAGGGACAGAGCUGAAGGUCACAUCAAUGGGGCCAAAGAUCCUCCCCCAACAUGCUACCAGCAUCUUUUAA